UUUUGGCUCCUCGUGCUGGGGUUUCCCAGCCAUCAGUCCAGCCAC
This 45-nucleotide long non-coding RNA is filed under the name Pongo abelii (Sumatran orangutan). RNAcentral describes it as "lincRNA". The record is from RNAcentral. Lineage: Eukaryota; Metazoa; Chordata; Mammalia; Primates; Hominidae.